Molecule: long non-coding RNA, 37296 nt
Filed under: Vitis vinifera (wine grape)
Lineage: Eukaryota; Viridiplantae; Streptophyta; Magnoliopsida; Vitales; Vitaceae
Description: long non-coding RNA (VVIN_LNC000889)
Source: RNAcentral
AUUAACUCCUUUGUCGAUGGUACAACUCCUCCCAUUUACACAGUGGGGCCGUUAUUGAACUUACAUAAUGCCAAUCACCAGAAACAAGAUAGUGACUUGGAUGUCAUCCAAUGGCUUGAUGAUCAACCCACAUCAUCUGUGGUGUUUUUAUGUUUUGGCAGCGUUGGAGCAUUCCACAUGGAUCAAAUCAAAGAAAUUGCAAUUGGGCUUGAGAAUAGUGGGCAUCGUUUCUUGUGGACGCUCCGACGACCUCCACCAAAAGGUAAGAUCGCAAUGCCUACUGAUUAUGUGAAUUUCGAGGAAGUACUACCUGAAGGGUUCUUAGAUCGUACAUCUAAAAUUGGAAAGAUAAUUGGAUGGGCACCACAAACGGCUAUUUUAGCUCACUCUGCAAUAGGAGGGUUUGUAUCUCAUUGUGGGUGGAAUUCUACAUUAGAGAGCAUAUGGUAUGGCGUCCCGGUAGCUACAUGGCCUAUGUAUGCAGAACAACAAUUGAAUGCGUUUCAAAUAGUAAAAGAGUUAGAAAUAGGGGUAGAGAUCAGAUUAGAUUAUAAAAAGGAUACUAGUGAUAUUGUAAAUGCUCAAGAAAUUGAGAGUAGAAUAAGAAGUUUGAUGGAGGAUAGCAAUGACAUAAAAACAAAUAGGGCAAAGAUGAAAGAAAAGUGCGUGACAGCCCUAACGGAAGGUGGAUCUUUAGAUUCUAGCUUACAACGUCUAAUUGGAGACAUGAUAACUAAUAUCUCAUGAAGCAAUGUUUUAUCAAAGAAAAGUUAUAAGUUGUUAAAAAUGCUUAUUUCAAUUGCCUUUUAAUAAUAUAUUGGUUGAGUGUCGUGGAAAGGUUGAUUCAACUAUUUACUUAUUUUAAAUAAAAAUAAGCGUAACAUAUGUUAUGUCUUGUGUAACAAUUUUAUUUUAAUAUUAGGUGAUGUAUCAAAUCCAAAUUGCAUGUUUAUUUUAUUAUUUAAAGUUUGUUAAAGAAACGAUAAAUGCAUGAUAAUAAAAAAUUUAAAGUAAAAUAGGCCAACUACAUGGAUGAAGUUUUUCAUUUGGAUAUUUAAUUAGGAGUCUCUACAUUUUCCUUUUUCUAAUAUUUAAAAUCUUUUUUACUUAUUUAAACAAAAUAUUAAAUAUGUAAAAAGUCUACCUUUCACCUUUUAAACAAAUAAAAAAAAUACAAAAUAGUUUUAAAUCCAAUUUAAUCCUACAUAAUCAAAGUACAAAUAAAGCAAUAUUCAACGACGUGGAAGAGACAAAUAAAAUAGAGGAAGGCUUUUUAAUUAUUUUAAAUUUUGGUGUAUUAAAUAUUAAUAUUUCUAUGCAUUUUUUUAAAGACGGGGACAUAAAAAGGUUUUACGCUUUCUCAUCUUAUAUGUCAUGUUCUUGUAAACCCUUAUACUAAAUUAGCAUGUCCCAUUGUCAUUUUCAGUCAAUUUGAUGUUUAAUUUUGUUGUUAUUAAAUUGUGAAAGGUUAACAUAGACCUCCAUUUUUUAUAUAUCUUCUCACUCAAUGGUAAGAUUCGUUUUUUAUUUGUGAAAAUCUGAUUUCUAAAAAAGUAGAGUCGUUACUUAUUUUAAUUUAAUUUUUAUGAAAAAAAUAAAAUAAGAAAAACCACAUAUUACUCCUUAUUUGAAAAAAAUAAUAAGUUUGUAAACCAAAAGCAAAUUCACUGAUCAAGUUAUUUAUCGAGAAAGUAUAAUAAUGAACUGUAACACUUUUCUAAGUCUGUGUCUAUAAUUUAUACUAAAUGAAUGAAGAAAAUUAUAACAAUUGAUUAAUUAAUUAUAAAUAUAAAAAAAGUAUGAUGCAAAUAUGAGUAAUAAGAUAAGGUAGAGACAAGUUACAAGAAUAUACAAAAUUUCAAUUUAUUUGCAAAAGAUUUGAUUUUUAUUCAAAUUCGAAUUUAUUUUGAAAAUGACUUUUCUUGUUUUUAUUAAAGGAGAUUAUUGAAUGUAAUUUUACUAAAAAAAAUGUUCAAUUUGAUUUUAUUUAUAAGAAAUGAUUUUUAUUUAUGUUUGUUAGGAAAAGAAUGAAUUUUUACAAUUUUAUUUUUAAUAGAAUAUUUUAUUGCAAAUUUUAUUUUAAAAAUGGAUUUUUACAAAUUAUUUAAUAUGUAUAUAUAUAUAUAUAUAUAUAUAUAUAUAUAUAUAUAUAUAUAUAUAUAUAUAUAUAUAUAUAUAUAUAUAUAUAUAUAUAUAUAUAUAUAUAUAUAUAUAUUUUUUUNNNNNNNNNNNNNNNNNNNNNNNNNNNNNNNNNNNNNNNNNNNNNNNNNNNNNNNNNNNNNNNNNNNNNNNNNNNNNNNNNNNNNNNNNNNNNNNNNNNNUAUUUAUUUAUAUAUUUUUAAUAAAAAAAAAAAAUAUAUAAAUAUAUAUAUAUAAAUAUAUAUAUUUAUAUAUAUAUUUUUAUAAAUAUAUAUAUAUAUAUAUAUAUAUAUAUAUAUAUAUAUAUAUAUAUAUAUAUAUAUAUAUAUAUAUAUAUAUAUAUAUAUAUAUAUAUAUAUAUAUAUAUAUAUAUAUAUAUAUAUAUUAUUAUUAUUAUUAUUUUUUACAAAUUUGGUUUAUUAUACUAUAAAAUAAAUAUUAUAGCAUAAGGUUUCUUGCAAAAAUCAGAGUAUCAAUUUACAUAUUGAUUCAAUCAUAUGAUCGAUGAUCCCUAAAGGAAUUGCUUAGUUUAUUAUGUAUAUGCAUUCAUAGAUAUCUUAAAAUCCCCAAAGGAUUCAAAAUGUCUUAAACAAAUAAUUCCCCGAAAUAUUAAUAUAUAUGAAGCAAAUAAUUAUCUCAAGGAUAAAAAUAUCUAAAGCAAUGAUUGAAAAUCUUAUAUUACAUUUGCGAUCAUGAUGAUAAUAUAUUUUUAUCAAUUUAUGUCAUUAUACUGAUUAAAGUGUAGGUUUGUAAUUGUUAUAAGCUCAUUGAAACUCUUGAAGAGCUAAUAAAAGCGGUUAAUUAAUUACUAAUUAAGGAUCUUAGAAAACCAAAAUUUUACCUUAGCUUGUAGAUUAAACACUUUCCAAAUGGAAUGUUAGUUCAUUAGUUAGCAUAUACAAAAAGUCCUAAAGUACUUUCAUAUAGACAAAUCAUACGCACUUAACUCUUCUAUGAUUGUUUGUUCACUUGAAGUGGAUAAAAAUAUGUUCCAUCCCAAAGAAGAGAAAAGAAAAAAAGUUUGGUCCAAGAGUAUCAUAUCUUAAUGCAAUUGGUACAUUGAUGCAUUUGGUAAAUUGUACCUUAUUAUAGUAGCAUUUUCUAUCAAUUUGCUACCAAGAUAAAACUCUAAACCAACAUGAAAACAUUAGAAUAAGACCAAACAUGUAUUACAAUAUCUUUGCGGAGCAACUAAUAUGAGUUUAUUUUAUUCAAAAUGAGAAAAAACUCAACUACUUAGAUAUAUGGAUGUUAACUAUCAUUUAGUUGACCCCCACAAAGCUCAACCCAAAUGGGAUAUAUAUUUAUCUAUAGUAGUGCAAUUAUGUCAUGGAGAUCAAUCAAACGAUCAAUGAUAAUCACUUCUUCAAAUUAUUUAGAGAUACUUUCAAUUCAUGAAGCAAAUCAUGGAUGUGUAUGGUUAAGGUCAAUGAUUCAACAUAUUCGGGAAUCAUGUAGACUACCCUCUAUCAAAGAUAAUAUUAUCAAGUUACAUGAAGAUAAUCCUAUUUGUAUUAUACAAAUUAGAUGAAGAUUUAUAAAAGGUGAUAGAACUAAGUAGAUCUCUACCAAAUUCUUUCAUAGCUCUAAGAGGAUGGUGAAAUCAAUAUUUAGCAGAUCAAGUUGUAUGAUAAUCUAGUAGAGAUGUUCACAAAGUUACCAUCGAAUACAUUGAAAUGGUUAAGAUACAAUAUUGGAAUGAGGGAAUAGAGAGAUUUACCAUUGAAGAGUUGAAGAAAGCCUGAUCAUGUUUACAUGAGGAGAAUACUAACAUGGAUAUAUUACACUAUUUUUUCUUUUGUUCAAGUUUUAUCCCAUUGGGUUUUACUGACCAGGUUUUUAAUGAGACAAUUCUAAUGGUCAAAUUAUUUUAAGGGUAUUGUACACUUUGUCUUUCACUAAGUAUUUUUCCACUAGAUGUUCCUCAUUAAAGUUUCAAAAAGUCAUAUUCUUAUGGUCAUACAAGGGGAAGUGUUAUGAAUAAUGGAGUUUGCCACAAGAAUUUGUUAAGAUAUGGGAACUUGUAGAUGAUCAUCCAAUUUUUGAUAUAGAUGAUUAUCUAAAAUGUCGUUGUAAAUCUCCUUUUGACUUUUUAUAAAAGUGAGACCUUCUAACGAAUUGAAUAUACUACUCUAAGCAUAAUAAUUUGUUUAUCUUUCAAUUUCUUCUUCUUUUAUUUUAUAACAAAGGUUUUAGUUUUAGUUUUCCAAAAAAUUGAAUUUCAAAAAUAUUGAAAUAUAUAUAUAAAAAAAUCAACAAAAAACAAUUGUAAUACAAACAUGUGGCCUAAUAAGAGUGCACCACACAGUAAAAGAAUAAGUCAACUGAGAAGUGUGGAAUAAUUUUAUUUUUUUUAAAUGAUUUACUAAAAAAAUAUCAUGCAAUGCAAAACUUGUCAAUUUCGUAAUAUUAUAAUUAUUUCCUAUUAAAUAUUUGAAAAUAAAAAGGAAAAAAUGAAAUAAAUUGCAUACAUGUUCAAUUUUAACAUAAAAAAGAAACACAAAUUUGUUUUAAAUAAAAGAAAUGAAUUGUGUAAAUUAAUUACAUGUAGUCCUUUUUAUUUAAAUAAUCAGAAUUUUAAAAUUUGAGUUUUUUAAAAAUUAAACUAGAAAAAUAUUGAAAUAUAAAAGAAAAAUUGUUUUCAUAAAUAUAUAUAUAUAUAUAUAUAUAUAUAUAUAUAUAUAUAUAUAUAUAUAUAUAUAUAUAUAUAUAUAUAAAUAAUAAUAAUUCAUAUAAUUUCAUAAAAAUUUAAUAAAACAUAAGUUUGGUAUUAUAUGUUAAAUGAGGUUUUGAUUUUUUAAAAACUUUGACUCGAGAACUUCGACAUUGGAAGGAACAAAAGAUGUAUUUUAGAGUUUAAGGUUAGUUACUUUGCUUGUUCAUACAAUGAUAUUUGUAUUAUUUUUCUCAAAUCAUUUAUGCAUACACCGAACUUGUGCAAUUAUGACCAUCACCUAGUAAUGAGGAUCAUACCUUAACUUCACGAAGUUAAAGAUUAAAAAUCAUUUUCUUACUGAAAAACAUAAAGAUAACCAUUAAUAUUUUUUAGUUCCAACAUGAUAACUCUUUUUUUGGAUUUCAAAUAAAUAAUUCAAUUUGAAUUAAAAUCCUUUAUAUAUAUAGACACACAUAUAUCAUCAUUAUCAUCAUCAAAGUUUUAAUACGUCUCCCAUUGACACAAUUUCAUCAUCACCCACUAUUUUUUUUUUCCAACGAAAUGUUCUCCCUAAAUAUUUUACGCAACAAAAUAGUUUGUGGCAAAAAAGUUACUUUUCAUAGUGCAAAAUUUGUUGCCAUAAGGCCUGAAUUCAUGAAACUUUUGUUGGAAUUUAUAUAGGUGAAUGGAAAUUAGGAUUUUCUUUUUCUUGGAAAAUAUGUUAUUUCUUAAUAAACACAAUUUGUUUUAAAGGAUGUGUCUUAUAUUUAAAAAAUACGUCCUCUUCCAAAGGAUGUGUUUAAUGUCUUAAGACAUAAUCCUUCAAAUGAUGUGUUUAGUAUUUUAAAGACAUGUCUUUUCUAAAGGUCACCUUCAAGUUUAUAAAUGGGGAACCCCUGUCUCCCAUGGCACUUUCAUUCAUUCAUCCAUUCUCUCCACUCUUUCUCUUUUCUUGUCAUUCAAGUCCUCCUUAACUUCAAGUCUAAUUAUUUCUCUUUUCUACCAAAUAUUUAGUAUACAAGAGAGUACAAAUCACCAAGUGAUUCACCGUUUUUUGUGAUUUGAAGUGCUAUUAUCACAAGAAAGUGAUUAUUGUAUCCUGGAAGACGAUUGUCAAUAAACCAUAAACACAAUGAUAUAGAGUCAAACUUUAGUCUCAAUCAACCUUAUUUGUGAGUUUCAAUUUUCUACUUUAUUUUAUUUAUAUAUUUAUUAUACACACUUAUUAUCCAUAUAUCUUCAAUGUUUUAGAUAGAAAUCUUAAGACAAAUUUUAUUUUAUUUUUUACAACUGAAUUUUUCUUUUUAAGUGAAUCUGUUAUUGGGAUUGAGCCCCAAAAAAGUAAGACAUGAUGUAACAAAGUUAGACUUAACCAUCCACAUGCUAUCCCUUUGGUAUAUUGACAUUGAUUUGAGCAUUCAACUCAUGUCUCUUACAUUGUACAUGACUUGAGUGCAUUAUGAGUUCCACUAAAGAUACAAGUCAUGAGUUCUUUGUAAGUAGAUAAAUUGUCCACAGUUGGUUUAUGAAUUUGGGCAAUCCAAUAGAGACUCUAGUGCACCACCUCCUAACUAGAGGGAUGACUUGGCUUGGCUGUGGGAAUGGAUUUCCUAUGGUGAGUGCACUAGUGUAUGUGAUGUACACUAGAAAGGACCUAAGGUGAAUCAUCAUGCAAGGCUACCAAUUGUCACAAUUCACCAAGCUACUAGACUGCAUGUACUCUCAACCUUGAGAGGAUAUUGAGUUUGUGUCAAAAUCAACAGGAGGUUUUGACCUAUGGGUGAGACCUUAAAGUGGUCACAUAUCCUUAUGGAUUGGGUCACUAUUAAUGGAGUUCAUGGCAACAAGUAUUCUCAAUAAAAACAACAUGAUAUCUCAUAGGAUUGAGAUAGUGUAUCUCAUUAGGUGAUCCAAAGGACAUGUGAUCAUGUAAUCUUUGGCCAUAAUAAUUCCUUUAGUGGAAUUUGACAUUUGCUCAUUAGAGCUAGAGUAUGUUAAUCGAUUACAUAAUAAGUGGAAUAUGUAACUCAAUGAUUUGAGAGGUAAUCUCAAUAGGUGAUAACACUACCUUGUUAGAUUACAAACACCAGUUUAUGGGGAGUUUGCAUGUACUGGAUAGUAAGUCACGGACUUGGGCACUUGAUGUCUCGUUAUAAUAUACAUAUGGUACUGAAGUGCAGUUGACUCUCUAUAGUGGGAUGUUGAGCCAAUUUCAGAAUUUGAUUCUGAGGAAGCCAAUGAAUAUGGGUCCUAAUGGUCUCUACUCUAAGCUCAUAUUCCUUAUUGGCACAGUUUAUGAGGUUUGGAUGGGUUUUUAGUUCACUUUUUUUGCAUAGAGGCAUUUUAGUAAUUACAUAAGGUUGCACAAGGAUAAGUGGGUGGUAUCUCUAAACUGGGUUAAUUGAUUAAUUAAGGCCUUGUAUGGUUAAUUAAUCAAUUAGUAACCUUUUUUAGUUAUAUUAAGUGACCUAAGCCUAUGAUGACUCAAGUCACUUGAGCUUAAUAGGAAGCUUAUAAAUACCCUUUUAAAGGUUAAAGUUUUAAAGUCUUGUCAUUCUCUCCUUUAGUUUAGAUAGAAAACCAUAGCCUUUAUCCUUGAGAGCUCCACCAUCUUAGUGCCUAGACAUAAGAAAGAGUCAUCAGGCGAAAGAUCAUGGUGAUUACGAGAUCUAUUACACUUUGGAGUUAUCUACAUUGAUUGGAAUUGAUCCGAGAACAUCCAAAUCAAAUGUAUGUGACUCUAUUCUCUAUAUCUAUGUUUUUUAUGGUAUUCUUAUUGUUUUUUAAUACCUAUUUAUCCACUACGAUAGAUUUGGAGAGCCUAGGAUAGAUUUGUAUGUACCCUACACGAUCUAGCACAUGGGAACAAAGUAAUCCAAGGUUCCCAACAAUUGCAUCUUCUAUUAUACCUCUUAUUAUUGCACAUGGUGAGAAACCUAGAAGUUCACUAGGAUAGACUUCAAGAAGUGGCUAAAGCACCCUUUCAUUCUAUUGAAAGGAACAUUAAGCCUUUAGAAUUAAUUCACAUUGAUAUUUGUGAUUUAAAGUUUAUGCAAACUAGAAAAGGAAAAAAGUAUUUUGUCACUUUCCUUUAUGAUUGCACAAGAUACAGUUAUGCAUAUUUUCUAAGAAACAAAAAUGAGGCCCUAGAAGUGUUUAAACACUAUAAGAAUGAGGUUGAAAAUCAACUUAGCAAGAAGAUAGAGAUGAUAAGAAGAGAUAGAGGUGAAUAAUAUAAACCACCUUUUGAUGAGUUCUAUUUAGAGCAUGGUAUUAUUCAUCAAGCCACUGCUCCUUAUUCACCUCUAUCAAAUAGUAUUGUUGAAUGCAAGAAUCGAACAUUAAAGGAUAUGAUGAAUGCUAUGUUGAUAAGUUCUUAUUUAUCCUAGAAUUUGUAGAGGGAAGAAAUUCUUUCUGCUACCCACGUUCUAAACAAAAUACCACACAAGAAAAAUGAUGUAAAUCCAUAUGAAUUAUGAAAAGAAAGAAAACUAUCUUCUAAAUAUUUGAAAUUGUGAGGGUGUUUAACUAACGUAGUUAUUUCUAACUCUAAAAAAGUUUAUCGGUAAUGCCAAUAAUAGUAGUGCAUAUCAGUUCCUUGUAUAUAAAUUAUACAUUCUUGAUAUUCAUGAAAAUACAAUCAUUGAGUAAAGAAAUGUCUUAUUUUAAGAGAACACCUAUCCAUGUAAAAGUAUACCAGAGAAAAGUUCUCAAAAAAGAACAUAUGAGACUGCUAGUAGUAGUCAUCAAGAUGUUGAAGAACCCAGACACAGUAAAAGGGUCAAAGUAUCUAAGUCAUUUGUUCUUGAUUAUCUAACUUAUAUGUUAGAAAAUGAAUCUCAUACAUUUAAGGAAGAGCAUAGAAUAGCAUGUAUAAUGGUAAGUUUUUACAUAUACGUCAAAGACACAAUAUAGUAAGAUAGUUACUUUCAAAUGAAGUGAUUUCCAUUGAUUACAUGAAAUCAAAAGACAGUCGUAUAGAUCUGACUUACUAAAGGUUUGCCAAGAGAUCAAGUUAACUACUUAUUGAGGGGAAUGAGAUUAAAGCCUAUGACCAAAUAGUCUUCAUAAUGGUAACCCAACCUAGUUGGUUGGAGAUCCCAAGAUCUAGGUUCAAAGGGACAACUAAGUUAUGAAUGACUAAAACAAACACUAAAGAUAUUAUCUCUUUUACCUAUUCCUAUGAUGAAAUAGUGUUUUUCUAUAAUGUGAACUUGGUUAAGCUUUGCUUUAAUGAAUCCUAUAGCUUGGAAAACAAGUGGGGUAUGGUAGGAUACUCUUAAUAGGAAUCACGUAUGUGAGUGUGAAAUUGGGUCAUUUCUAUGAGAAUUUUUAAGGCUAAAAUUCUCCAUGACACUCAUGAAAUCAAGAUUUGUCCAGGGCCAAAAUGAACACAACUAUGAGAAUUAAUGGUGAUUCAGAAAGGAAUUGAGUGGAUAUUAUUGCAUAUCAGUUCCUUGUAUAUAAAUUAUACAUUCUUGAUAUUCAUGAAAAUACAAUCAUUGAGUAAAGAAAUGUCUUAUUUUAAGAGAACACCUAUCCAUGUAAAAGUAUACUAGAGAAAGUUAUCAAAAAAGAACAUAUGAGAUUGCUAGUAGUAGUCAUCAAGAUGUUGAAGAACCCAGACACAGUAAAAGGGUCAAAGUAUCUAAGUCAUUUGUUCCUGAUUAUCUAACUUAUAUGUUAGAAAAUGAAUCUCAUACAUUUAAGGAAGAGCAUAGAAUAGCAUGUAUAAUGGUAAGUUUUUACAUAUACGUCAAAGACACAAUAUAGUAAGAUAGUUACUUUCAAAUGAAGUGAUUUCCAUUGAUUACAUGAAAUCAAAAGACAUUCGUAUAGAUCUGACUUACUAAAGGUUUGCCAAGAGAUCAAGUUAACUACUUAUUGAGGGGAAUGAGAUUAAAGCCUAUGACCAAAUAGUCUUCAUAAUGGUAACCCAACCUAGUUGGUUGGAGAUCCCAAGAUCUAGGUUCAAAGGGACAACUAAGUUAUCUCUUUUACCUAUUCCUAUGAUGAAAUAGUGUUUUUCUAUAGCGUGAACUUGGUUAAGCUUUGCUUUAAUGAAUCCUAUAGCUUGGAAAACAAGUGGGGUAUGGUAGGAUACUCUUAAUAGGAAUCACCUAUGUGAGUGUGAAAUUGGGUCAUUUCUAUGAGAAUUUUUAAGGCUGAAAUUCUCCAUGACACUCAUGAAAUCAAGAUUUGUCCAGGGCCAAAAUGAACACAACUAUGAGAAUCAAUGGUGAUUCAGAAAGGAAUUGAGUGGAUAUUAUUGUUUUUAUUUACAUCAACAACUAAACAGUUCAAGAUAUCACGUUCACUGAUUAGCUAGUAAAUUUGAUAAUAUUUCACUAAGAUUCAAAGUCACAAGUUACCUAUCCUAACACAAUUACUUUCCAACUUGUACUCUUUUGAUUGUUUAGCUUGUCAUUUGAAUUUUUUUAAGACAAUUUCCAUUCAUGUGAGGGAUUAUUGGAAUUCAUAUAAGUGAAAGGAAAUUAGGAUUUUUUUUCUUAGAAAACGUGUUGUUUCUUAAUAGACACAACUUAUUUUAAAGAAUGUGUCUUGUAUUGAAAAGACACAUCCUCUUCCAAAGGAUGUGUCUUGUAUUUAAAAGACACAUCCUAUUCCAAAGGAUCUGUUUAAUGUCUUAAGAAACAAGCCUUCAAAGGAUGUAUCUAGUAUUUUAAAGACAUCUCUUCUAAAGGUCACCUUCAAAUCUAUAAAUAUACAUUUCUUCUGAAUGAAUAUUCAUCCAUUCUCUCCACUCUUUCUCCUUUAUUAUUAUUCAAGUCCUCUUUAGCUUCAAGUCUAGUCAUUUCCUUUUUUUUACCAAAUAUUUGGUAUACAAGUGAGUACAAAUCACCAAGUGAUUCACCAUUUUUUUUAUUUUUUUUUGUGAUUUGAAGUAUUACUAUCACAAAAAAGUGAUUGUUGUAUCCUAUGACACGAUUGUCAAUAAACCAUAAGCACCUGAGUGGGACAAAUUCGUCUUAAGAAUAUAAAGUCAAACUUUAGCCUCAAUCAACCUUAUUUGUGAGUUUCAAUUUUCUACUUAUUUCAUUUUAUUUGUAUAUUUAUUAUACACACUUAUUAUUCAUACUUUUUUUCAAAGAUUUGGACGACUUUAGUAGUAAAUAGAGAUUUCUUCUCCAAACAUGAUUUUAGGAGAAGAAAUUAUGUUUAUGGAAAAAAUUUUAUUAUAGAAAAUCAAAUUUAAUGUAGUAGACCUUGACCUAUUGUGUUUGAAAGUCUAUGAUUAUUGAUAAAAAAAAAAAAAUUAAUGUUAUUUUUCUUUUAAUUACAAGCCUUAUAUAUAUAUAUAUAGUUAAUAUUUAAGUAAAAAACCUUUUAGAAAUGUCAAGUCAACUCUAUUUAUGGAAUAGUUUUAAAUUUUCCUUUUAGCGAAAGUUGAAAUAAAAGUAAAAUAACUACUUUUAUUAUAAGUUGAUUUUAUGUUUGGAAUUAAAUGCUUUUAUUCAAAAUAAAGAAUAAUUAAGAUAUUUUUAAAUUUUAGUUAAAUAAAACUUGUUGAAUACACCAAUAUUUUCUCUCUUUACACCCAUCUUAUUUUUAAUUUUUUCUUCAUCAUCCUUUUGACACUCAUGUCUCAAAUCUUAAUUAGCUUUCUUAUUCACUUUUCCUCUCCUUUCCUUUAUUUUAUUUAAAUUUUCUUUUAACUAAAAUAGAAAAACAACUAAAAAAUAAAAAGGGUGGUGUGCAACCAUGACUAUUGUUGUUAUAGAUAUAAAAGAAUUGAUGGGUUAAAUUACCACUAAAUUAAUCAUCAAAACUUUAACUUUUUAACUCAAUAAAAUUUAGACUUGACAAGCAAUGAGUCAUACACAUUGAAUAAAUCUUAUGUAAUUCAAAAAGUGAUAUAUGAUUAAAUUUGAAAGGCUAGGAAAUCAAAUCUUGUAAAAUAAAAAUAAAAUAAAAUAAUUAAAGUAAAAAGAGAAUUAGAAAAAGAUAUUCUCUUGUUUGUAAAUUUCUGAAAUGAAAGAAACAAAUUAUUUAAUUGAAGUCAAAAGAGAAUUGUAAAGAAAUAUUCUCUUGUUGAUAAAUUUUUUAAAUGAGGGACACAAAUUGCUAAAUCAAUUUAUCAAAUUCCUUAAAUUGAGUAAUCAAAUAUUGGGGAUUCCAAAUUUAAUUUCUUAACUUCACCUAUAAAUAAAGAUCAACUUCUUCAAUAUAGGGGAUUAAAAAAUAAAUAAAUAAACUUUAGAAGAAGACAAAGAAAAAAGGUUUCACAAAAUGGCCCUACAAGUCCAACAAAAGCACAUGAAAAACUAGAUAUAUAUUUUUCACCGUUCUCAAAGUUCAAUAAAGUCAUUUAGAAACAAGCUAUGCAAAACUCUCAAUUGAACUUUAAUUUCAAAGAAAUACUUACACCGUCAUUCAUUGGAUUGUGAUUAAAACAAUCAAAUCAGAGAAAAAUUUUCUUUACAAAGAAUAUUAUAAUAGAGAAUUGUACCUCAUAAUUUUUCUAAUUGGGAAAAUUUAGGUAGGUGUAUUUAACAAUUCUUUAAAAAAUAAAUUUUAUCCCUAAAAAAUUAAUAUACAUUUAUAGGAGCACUAAGUGACAAAAUUCGAAACUAAUGGAUGUUUGAUGUAAUGCUAUGAAAAUUAGACUGAAUGAGGGCCCAAUUGCUCUGAAUCACCACAUGAAGCCAAAAAUGAGUUGAAUCAGUAUUAAAUCAGUCCAACCACUAGGUGAGUAAGCUCAACCAAUUCAAAAGCUGCACUUUAUUCCCUUUUUUCUUUUCCAAAACUCACCUAACAGUCCAAGUCACUCACCCUCCUCACAUAGUUUUUAUUUUUUAUUUUUUUGUUAAUGUUUGGAUAUGGGAAUAAAGAAAAAAUACAAGACAUGCAAGCAAGGGAAAGGAAAAGUAAUGGGAGGGAUAAAAGAUUCAUAAUAAUGAUAAGGGUCUAGGUAUGGUACAAAUAACACCUUUUUAGUAGCAAUUUGUGGGUGUUACAUGUGCACUGGUUCAUUGCUUUGUUCUUAGCAUCUCAUUAUUUUGUAUUGUGUCCACCCAAGUUGGAUCAAUCUAUGCAUCACUUUCCUCCUCAAGAUCAAAAAACCAAAAAACAAAAAAAGGAUAGGUCGGUUAGGCAAACCUUUCUUCAACAAUCAAAUUAACCAUCAAGUUAAGUGAAAAAGACAUAAGAUGAAAUUGUUUUUGUAUCUUAUUUUGGAAGUGAGACUUCCUUUUAUAGAUUUAUUUUGGUGUAUUAAUUAUGAGAAGUUAAUAAAUGAAGCAUCAAUUCUAUAUUGUACCUUAAAUGAUUUACAUUAUGAGUAUCUUAAAGGCUCUAAUCAUUGUGCAAUAAUUAUGGAAUGACAUUCAAGAUUUUGGUCAUUAUGUGAUUAAUUUGUGAAUCAUUGUCAUUACAUAAUUAAUGUAUAGGUUAUCCUUUAUACAAGGUCGUGUUUUGCAAUAGUGAUCAUAUUUUGAGUGGGAGUCAUUCCUAAAUGUGAUCAAUGCUUUUUGUGAUGUGAUGAUGAUAAUGAUCUAUUAUUGUAGUGAGGUGGGUCUCAUGGGGCCUCAUGACAAGCAUUAUAUGGAGGUAGCACAUUGCUUUUUUUAACUCUGCUAUAUGACAAAGGAUUUUCAUUUCCCUACACUUCCUAUUUUACACGUGAACUAAUUAUUUUAUAUUUUAGUUCCAUUAUUGUGUAGUUUAGUCUUAUUACAUGCAUUACAUUUUAAUCUCAUUGAUCUAUAUAAUGGUUCCAUGUGUUUGUAACAUGGUUCUUUAUACUUUCAUUUAGUGACUCAAAUUUUAUUAUAUACUUAAAUCAUUAGGAUUAAAAUUUCAAUAUCAUAUCAAAUAUAAACCCAAUAUAUUCUUUUUUAUAAUAAUAAAUUUAUUGAAGAAAGGUAUGACUGAAUAUUAGAGAUUGUGGCUCUCAAGUUAACACUAAAAAAACUACGCACAUAGAAGAUUUUGUUGUUAAAAAACUUGAGGAGAAUUAUUUCCAACUAGUGACAUGUGUUAGGUAUAAAGUUGUCUUUAAUAAGAUUGAUAACUACAUUACUUAAAUAUAAAACCUUAUUGGUAAUAAUAGUAAAGGAUUGAUUAUGACACCAAAUACUACUUUUUUCGUAUCAUAUCAAAAAGUUGUCAUCAACUAAGGGUAUCAAAUGCAUGCAUGUUGAUCCUAUUACUUGUUUUAUACCAUAUAUGCGAUCUCAUUGAUCCAUACCUUUAUUCAAUUAUUUUGUACCAUGUGAUAGCUCGUUCCCUUGCUUUUGUUAUGUAUUACAUGGGACUUUGGUUCCAUUAUUUUGUAUUCAAGUGUUUUAUUAUUUUAUAAUUUAUAUAUAAUUUUAUUGUUUUCUACCUUAGUUUCACUGUUAUUAACUGUGAAUGACAAUUUCAAUCAAAAGUUUUCUAUGAUAUGGGAUGUAUAUUAUAUAUUAAAUUUAUCAUAGAAGGGAGAUAAUUGCUCCCCAUCUAAUGCUUGUCAGAAAAUUAGAGAUUUUUUUUCUAGAAUUGGGUCAAAAAGUUAUGUGUGACAUUUAAAUUUGCCUGCUUAUAUGAUGGAGAUAAGAACAUUUGGAAUUAGAGAAUUAGUGGAUGUUCAAUUAGUGGAAUUAAUUUAGAUAAUAUUGAAUGGAUGUCUUACAAAGUGGACUAAAUUUUAUCAAUUUGAUUGAUUCGAAAAAUUCAUAUGUUUAACAGAAUUAAUAUUUGUGACUAAUUAUAUCAAUUUCGACAUGAAAAGACAUUAUGAGAAUAAUUCCUUUUUCUAUUAAAAAUUGUCCGCUCCAUACGAAAAGACAAACUUGACAUGAAAAGAAAUAAUUUCAUAAAUAUUGAAUUAUAUUAUUUGUUAAGGAGGAUUGAAUAUUCUAUAUUCUAUUAGAGAUAUGAAUAUUCCCAGGAAAAAGAAACAAAAAAAGACAAAAAUUUGGAUGGAAAAGUCCAUGCAUUAGUAUUAACACAAUGACAGACGCCCACAGCCUAAGACUUCAACAUUAGAAAUAUGAAUAUUCUAUAUUCUAUUAGAGAUAUGAAUAUUCCCAGGAAAAAGAAACAAAAAAAGACAAAAAUUUGGAUGGAAUAGUCCAUGCCUUAGUAUUAACACAAUGACACACGCCCACAGCCUAAGACUUCAACGUUAGAGAUAUGAAUAUUCUAUAUUCUAUGUCGGCCAUGACAUCACCUCCAUUCUUCUUCUCCAAGCCAAAACCACAUGGUGAAGAUCUAUAUAUCUAUCUGAAUCAUCCGGUGUUUAAUUCCACUGAAAAUAAGAAAAUUUCUUAGAGUUCUCUCUGUUAGCCGUAGUAUUAGCUAGUGAUGAUGAAGAAAAUAGAGCUUAUUUUUGUCUCUGUCUCAGCUAUAGGACAUAUUGUAUCAACUGUGGAGUUUGCUAAGCUUCUUGUUGGUAGAGAUGACCGCUUCUCAGUCACUCUGCUCAUCAUGAAGCUACCUCUUGAGGACUCUGCGGCAACCAACUAUAUCCAUUCAGUUUCUGCUUCUGUUUCCGGGUCCAUUCGAUUUGUCCACCUUCCUGAACUCGACUCAGAUUCAUCAUCGUCAUCCACUAAUGUCUUAUUCUCUAAUAUCAUUGAAAGGCAGAAGCCUCUGGUGAGGGAUGCAAUCCACCAGCUCACUCGGUCUGAGUCGGGUCGACUCGCUGGGAUUGUGGUCGAUUUGCUUUGCACUUCCAUGAUAGAUGUAGCUAAUGAAUUGGGUGUUCCUUCCUAUGUGUACUUCGCCUCCAGUGCGGCCUGCCUUGCUCUCAUGUUUCAUCUUCAAACCCUCAAGGACCACCAGGGCGUGGAUGUUACUGAGUUUGCUAACUCGGAUGCUGAGUUGGUGGUCCCGGGUUUUGUCAACCCGGUUCCUGCUCGAGUCUUGCCUGCUGUGGCGGUGGACAAGGAGGGUGGCGGAUCCAUGGAUUUCCUCGACCUGGCAAGGGGCUUUAGAGAGGCCAAGGGUAUUUUGGUAAAUACGUUUGUGGAGCUAGAAUCUCAUGUGAUUAACUCCUUUGUCGAUGGUACAACUCCUCCCAUUUACAAAGUAGGGCCAUUAUUGAACUUACAACAUGCCAACAACCAAAAACCAGAUAGUGACUUGGACGUCAUCCGAUGGCUUGAUGAUCAGCCCACAUCAUCUGUGGUGUUUUUAUGUUUUGGUAGCGCUGGAGCAUUCCACAUGGAUCAAAUCAACGAGAUUGCAAUUGGGCUCGAGAAUAGUGGGCAUCGUUUCUUGUGGACACUCCGACGACCUCCACCAAAAGAUAAGAUGGCAAUAUCUAGUGAUUAUGUAAAUUUCGAGGAAGUAUUACCUGAAGGGUUCUUAGAUCGUACAUCUAAAAUUGGGAAGAUAAUUGGAUGGGCACCACAAACGGCUAUUUUAGCUCACUCUGCAGUAGGAGGGUUUAUAUCUCAUUGUGGGUGGAAUUCUACAUUAGAAAGCAUAUGGUAUGGUGUCCCAGUAGCCACAUGGCCUAUGUAUGCAGAACAACAAUUGAAUGCGUUUCAAAUAGUUAGAGAGUUAGAAAUGGGGGUAGAGAUUAGAUUUGAUUAUAACAUGGAUACUAGUAAUCUUGUAAGUGCUCAAGAAAUUGAGAGUAGAAUAAGAAGUCUAAUGGAUGAUAGCAGCAACAUUAGAAUGAAAAGGACAAAAAUGAAAGAGAAGUGCAUGAAGGCCUUGACAGAAGGUGGAUCUUCAGACUGUAGCAUACAACGUCUAAUUGGAGACAUCAUAACUAAUAUCUCAUGAAGCGCAAAUUAUAGCAAUGUAUUAUCAAAAAAAGGUUCUAAGUCCUUAAAAAUGUUUGUUUCAAUUGCUUUUAAUAAUGUAAUGGUUGAGUGUCAUAGAAAAAUUGAUUAAAAAAUUAAGUUGGAAAAAAUGUAUUGUCUACUUAUUUUAAAUAAAAAUAAAAAUGGCAUAUGUUACAUCUUGUGUGACAUCUUUAUUUUAAUAUUAGAUGAUGUAUCAAAUCCAAAUUGUAUGGGAAUAUAAAAGGGUUUUAGGCUUUCUCAUCUUAUAUGUCUUGUUCUUGUAAGCCCUCAUACGAAAUGAUCACAUCCCAUUGCCAUUUCCAUUCAAUUUGGUGUUUAAUUUUGUUGUUAUUAAUUGUAAGAGGUUAGUUUUACAAAUCUUCCUCAUAUUUGAUUAUAAAUAUUUGAAUUUUCAAUACCUAACCUUGUCUCAUGUUAUUUGGGAGUGGUUAUUAAAGGAUUAAAGUAACUUUGUCAAAGUUGUGGUUGUGAAAUGAUAAAAUUUUGGUUUUAGUAAUAUAAUUUUUUAGACUUAGGUAUUUGGUAAAUUAACUUAAUAAGUUAAAAUAACUUGAUAACUUAAUUUAAGUUAUUAAGUAAAUUAAGUAUGUUUGGUAAAAUAAAGAUUUAAAGUAAAAAACAACUUUAAGCAAUAAGGAAAAUAAUUAACUUAUUUUUAAGUAUCCUCAUUUGACAUUUUUAUCCCCAUUUACAUUAAUUAUCUCCACAAUCUCUUUUGCUACUUCACGAUCUUCAUUGUUACUCGACCUCAUUUUCCCUAAUUAUAAUUUAUGAGAAUAAAUAUAUUAAUUUAAUUAUUUGAAAUAAAUUUUACAACCUUAAUACUUAAAGUAAUAAUUAAGUAAUAAAUUUUAAAUCAACAACAUAAGUAUAAUUUAACUUAAAGUCAACUUAAGCGACUAAGUAAUAAGUAUUAAGUUUUACCAAACAUUCCCUUAGGUGGUGUUUGUAUUUUUUUUUUACUUAGUUAUAAAUAGAAUUUAAAACUAAAUAGCGUUUAAUAAUGUUAAGUAUUAAGUUAUUUGUUUUUAUAAUAUUUUAUUUCUAUUAAGUAUAUAAAAAUAAAGAAAAAUCAAUAUAUUAUUUUUUCUAUAAAAAAUUAAAGAUUUUGAUUAUUUUUUACUCAACAAAAAAUUUAUAAUAAGUUAUAAAAAAUAGAAAAAUAACUCUCUUAGUUUAUAUUAAUUUCUUCUUUAACUUAAAUGAUUUUAAUUUUUUUGUAGUUUUUUUAGUGACUUUUUUAAAAAAGACACAAAAAUGGACUUUUUUGUGCUUAAGCUUUUCAAAUUAAUAUAUAUUUUUAUUAUUUUGUAUUUCAUAUUAAUAUAAUUAAAAAUAAAAAAAUUGUUAAAAUAUCCAAUGUGUAUAAAAGGAAAUGAAUCAUGGGUAGAAACAAAUGGAAUCAUGCUAAAUUAUAAAUAAAUAAGAUAUUUUUGUUAUAUUGUAUUUUUUUAUUUUAUUGAUCACCAUUUUUUUAAAUGAGAUCGUGAACUACAUUUUAGUAUCAUAGAAUGGCCCAAAAAGAAUAUGACACAUGGCAUAAUAAAUAGACAAAUGCAUUACAUGUGAGGCUGGUCCCAAAGGUGAUGGGGGUUGGAGAGAAUAGGAGUUGCACGUGGCACCCAAAUACCAUAUUCCCAAAAUCAGAAAAUAAAUUCGCGAAUUGAGGGAAACCCUAGGAGAGAGAGGAGAAAGGAGAGAAUGGGGAAGAAGAAGAAGAGAGCAGCUAAGGUGUUCUGCUACUACUAUGAGAGGGAGUUCGAGGAUGAGAAGAUUCUUCUUCAGCACCAGAAGGCCAAGCACUUCAAGUGCCAUGUUUGCAACAAGAAGCUCUCCACUGCCUUUAGCAUGGCCAUCCACAUCCUCCAGGUCCACAAGGAGACCGUCUCCAAGUACUAUUGCUUGUCAUUUGCAUUUUUUUUUUAAGACAAUUUCCAUUCAUGUGUUGGAUUGUUGGAAUUUAUAUAGGUGAAUUGAAAUUAAGAUUUUUUUUUUCUCAUAAGACAUGUUGUUUCUUAAUAGACAUAACUUGUUUUAAAUGAUGUAUUUUGUAUUUAAAAGACACAUCCUCUUCCAAAUGAUUUGUUUAAUGUCUUCAGAGACAACUAUAAACCCUCUAAUUUGUUCUCUUAGCACAUGUGACACUAGGUGUCUUCUCAUACUUCUCUUUUGACUCAUAGUCAUCCCUUAGUGGCCCAUCGACAAUUAUAUAGUUUCAUUUUCUAAGCCACCUUUAGGAACUCUUUGCUAAGGGACUCAUUUAGACCCACAUUGUGACCUUGGCCACCCUUCAUCCUUAGGUUAGAUCCUACUUAGGUUCACCUAGGCCCUCUUAGAUUUACUAAAGCCCACCUUGACACACCUUGACCCAUUUUGGUCACUUUUCGGUAAUUCCUGCAUGACUUACAUAAUUUGCAUGAUUUGCAUUUUUAACGCUCGCAUAUACUUGAUUUUCUUAUUUAUUAAUUUUUCUAUUUAUUUAUUUCUAUUUAGUAUUAUUGGUGUAGGGAUUUGUUUAUCUUUCUUUAUUUAGUUACCUAUUUUCAGAAAAUUGCAUGUGGUUGGUUAUCUUGUCUCUUUUAUUAUUAUUAUUAUUAUUACUAUUAUUAAAUUUGCAUGAAUUAAUACUUUAGUUUUCUCUUUUAUUUAUAUAUAUAUAUAUAUAUAUAUAUAUAUAGAUAGAUAUUCUUUGACAUGAAAAUCACGGGUCGCAUAUUGACAUAGUGAAGGAGGUCACAACAUAUUGAAAAUUUUUGGAGGAUCAUGAGGACUUUGUUUUUUUUUGGAAAGUUACCACCUUGAGAAGAUGAAGGGAAUGAGACCGCACCAUGGGAACUUGGGUUGCACCAUGGGAAAUCAAGUUACUCUAGGAAGAGUGUAAAUGUGAAGUUGUGUUAGACUUAAGUCUUUUAUUUUUUGUCAACUCCUUGGGAAGAGUCUCAUUAGGAGUGUGCUAGUAGAGUCCCAUUCCGCUGACAAGUAGAGUCUCGUUCUGCUUAUAAGUAGAGUCCUAUUCUGAUUACAAGUAGAGUCAUGUUCUGAUUAUAAGUAGAGUCACCCCUGACUGUCAAAUAAUUUUUUUUUUAAAGAGUUCUUCUAAACCUUCCAAUGUUUUGCUUUCCUCUCCAUUCUUUCAUACAUCUAUCUGGAGGAAUUUUUUAGAACCCAAGUUGUACACGUCUUGCCUAUAAAGUGCACCCAAAGCGAGAUUCAUUGGUACCCUAGUGCACCAAGUUCGUUUUGGAGAAGGGUGGAUCUAUUUCAAAGACAAUGCUUGUUACCCCUCAACCUAUCACCGAUAAGUUUCUUGUUAUUCAUUCCACUCUUUGUUUGUGUGUUUUGGGCUAGUCCUCUGUUUUCAUACCCUUAAAACAACAAUCUUGAAAUAGAUCCAAAUGGAAGCUUCCCUAGUUCACACCUGUCCUAACACCUCUAAGAUUGAUCCCUUCAAUAUGACAUUCUUUGAGAGAUGGCAGGAAAUAGUUUUCUCUGUAAUUGAUGUAGUGAACUUGGGACACAUUUUAACUAACCUAAAACCAGAAAAUGGUUCUGAAUUGUUGCCUACUUAGGAAAUUGAUAAUAAACAAGUUAGACAUGAUAUUCUUAGUACCCUUUCUAAUGAAAUUUUUGAUGUUUAUUGUCAGUAUAAAGUUGCAAAAGAAAUUUGGGAUGCAAUGAAUAAAAAAUAUAUUUUGGAAGAUGUAAGAACUCAUAAAUAUGCAAUAGGGAAUUUAACAAAUUUCCAAAUGACCAAGGAUAUCAACGUAUCAUCUCAAAUCCAUUACUACCAUUUGUUGAUUAAUGACUUAGCUAUUAAAGAAAUUAAAUUACCUGAACCUUUUGUGGUUAGUUACUUAGUAGAGACUCUUCCAGAGUCUUGGAAAGACUGAAAAAAUAACAUGAAAUAUCAAAGGAAACAAAUGUCCCUAGAAGAUAUCAUAAUCCAUAUUAGGAUUGAGGAAGAAAAUCGAAAUAUGGACAAUGUUGAGAAAGCUAAGGAACUGUCUUCUAAGGCUAAUGUAGUAGAAGAAAAACCUAAACCCAAAAACAAUAAGUCCAGAAAGCAAAACAUUAGGACCAAGCCUAAUGUAUCAAACAAGGUUUAGAACCUAACUAUUAAAAAAUAGUGUAAUUGCUUUGUCUGUGGCAAGUCUGGACACCAUGCAACUCAAUGCCACCAUAGGAAGAGAACUGAGAAGUCUAAUUCAAAGGAAAAUCUGGCAAAGACAGAGGUGAUCACAACAAUAGCCUUCUCUGAUGUGAGCAUUAUCUUUAAUAUGAAGGAUUGAGUGGUAGACUCUAGGGCUACCAAGCACAUCUAUGGAAACAUAAGUGCAUUUGCUUCCUAUACCACUAUAAAGAAAGAAGAGGAACAAGUGUUCAUGGGCAAUUCUAGAUCUACCCUAGUGAUUGGCAAAGGAAAAGUUCUUCUCAAGCUAACCUCUGGAAAAGUGCUCGCCGCCCAUAGUGAUGUUCUUCAUGUGCCAAAUAUCCGCUGGAACUUGGUGUUAGUAUCUUUGUUUGGGAAAGCAAGAGUGAGGAUCUUGUUUGACUCCGAUAAAAUAGUUUUAACCAAGAAUGAUGCAUUUGUGGGGAAGGGCUAUUGUAAUCACAGUUUAUUUAUGUUGAAUAUUUUUAUAUUAUCAAUAAUAAUGCAUCUUCUUCUUCUGCUUACAUAGUUGAUUCGUGUGAUAUUUGGCAUGGUAGAUUAGGACAUGUGAACUUUUCAUAUACGAAGAAAAUUGUUGAAUUGAGUUUAAUCCCUAAGUUGUCCUUAGAAAAUCUUAGAAAAUGUUAAUCAUCUGUAGAAUCUAAAACCACAAAGAAAUCUUGCAAAUCAGUAGAAAGAGAAUCAGAUUUACUAAGUUUAAUACACAGUGACUUAGGAGACCUAAAAAAUACAAUGACUAGAGGUGGUAAACGAUUCUACAUAACUUUCAUAGAUGACUACUCAAGGUAUACAAGGGUAUAUCUUUUGAGAAACAAAGAUGAAGUAAGAGAUGUUUUCAUCAAGUACAAAAAUGAAGUGGAAAAUCAACUAAGUAAGAAGAUUAAAAAGCUUAGAACUGAUAAAGGAAGAGAGUAUGAGUCCAACCCCUUUAAUUAUUUUUGUGAAGAUCAUGGGAUCAUUCAUGAAACUACUACUCCUUAUUCUCCUUACUCUAAUGGAGUAGCAGAAAGAAAAAAUAGGACCUUAAAAGAAAUGAUAAACGCAAUGUUGGUAAGUUCAGGAGCACCCUUGAACUUGUGGGGGGAAGUUAUCAUUUCCUCUUGUCAUAUUCAAAAUAGAAUACCUUACAAGAGAACUGGUAAAACUCCUUAUGAGUUGUGGAAGGGUUAUGCACCUAAUAUAACAUACCUGAAAGUGUAGGGUGAUUAGCUAAAGUUCUUUUCCCUAAACCUAAUGUUCGUUGGCUAUGCUGAGAAUAGUGUGACAUAUAGGUUUCUUGUUACUAAGUCAGAAAACAGUCUUAUGGAUGUCAAUACCAUAAUAGAAACAAAGAAUGAGGAUUUCUUUGAAAACAUAUUUCCUAUGAAACUAAAUGGUGAACAACAAGUUCAGAAAACAAGUAGAGAUGAGUCUAUUGAACCUUCUAAGUUUGAACCUAGAAGGAGUAAAAGAGAUAAGAAAGAAACAAACCUUAGAGAUGGCUUUUAUGCCUUCCUAAUAGAUGAAGACCCAAGAUCCUACAAAGAAGCUAUAACUUCUCCUGAUGCACCAUUCUGGAAAGAGGUCAUUAACAGUGAAAUCGAAUCAAUCAUGUAUAACCAUAAAUGAGAGUUAGCAAAUUUACCUCCUGGUGCAAAGACUAUUUAUUGUAAGUGGAUAUUUAAAAGAAGGUUAAAAUAAGAUGAGUCUGUAGAGAAGUAUAAAGCUCGUUUAGUUUCCAAAGGCUUUAAACAAAGGAAUGAUGUAGAUUACUUUGACAUAUUUUCCCUUGUGACUAGAAUAGCGUCAAUUAGAGUAUUGAUCGCUCUAUCUUCCAUUCAUAACCUGGUGAUACACCAAAUGGACGUCAAAAUUGCAUUCUUGAAUGGGGAUUUGGAAGAGCAAAUUUAUAUGGAACAACUUGAGGGUUGUGUAGUUCUAGGGAAGAAGAAAAAUGUGUGUAGGUUGGUUAAAUCACUAUAUAGGUUAAAACAAGUUCCCAAACAAUGGCACAUCAAGUUUGAUCAUGUGUUAGUAACUAAUAGAUAUUCCAUUCAUGAUGUUGAUAAAUGUAUCUACAACAAGUAUGAGGAUAACACAUGUGUAGUCAUUUGCCUUUAUGUUGAUGACAUGCUGAUUUUUGGAACUAGCCUAGAGGUUGUGUGUAAGACCAAAAAAUUCCUAGGUUCUGAGUUUGAUAUGAAAGACCUAGGAAAGGUAGAGGUGAUUCUAGGAAUUAAAAUAACUAGAACACAUAAUGGGCUUAAGCUUUCUCAAGAGCACUAUGCUGAGAAGAUCCUAAAGAAGUUUGAACACUUUGAUUGUAAACCAGUGUCAACUCCUUAUGAUCUCAGCUCACAACUGAAGAAAAAUAAAGAACAAAAUGUUGCCCAAAUCGAGUAUGCUCAAAUCAUAGGAACCCUAAUGUACUUAAUGAACUAUACCAUACUUGACAUUGCUUAUGUAGUAGGUAGAUUAAGUCGGUACACCUAAAGUCCUAAUCAGGACCAUUGGACCAUUGUUCGUAGAGUCCUUAAGUAUUUGAGAGGCACCAUUAACUAUGGUUUGUGCUAUAGUGGAUAUCCAAGUGUCCUUGAAGGAUUUAGUGAUGUAAAUUGGAUCUUAGAGUCAGAUGAGAUGAAAUCCACUAGUGGAUAUGUUUUCAUCCUUGGUAGAAGUGUAGUUUCUUGAAAGUUUGCCAAGCAAACUUGCAUUACUCAGUCUACUAUGGAAGCUAAGUUUAUUACCUUAGAAAAGACAAGUUCUGAGGUUGAGUGGCUUAGAAACCUCUUAGUAGAUCCCGUCUGUGUCUAUGCGUUGUGAUAGCCAAGUUGUAAUUGCUAAGGCUAAGAGUAAAAUAUUUAAUGGAAAGAACAAACAUAUAUGCCUAAGGCACAAUAUUGUGCGACUGCUGCUUGAAAUAGGGGUUAUAUCUCUAGAAUUUGUGAGGUCAAAGUUGAAUUUGCUCGAUCCUUUGACCAAACCACUAAAUAAGAAACUAAUGGAAGAAACAUCGAGGGGGAUGGGGCUUAUGCCUAUUACAAAAGUCAACAGUGGUGGUAACCUAACCUAUUAGAAUGGAAAAUUCUAUGAAGUUGGUUCAUAUGGGUAAUAACAAAUCGCUUGUCAACUUGAGGUGCUCUAUCAACUUUAAUUGUAUGAGAGUCUAUCCCUAUGGUGUGGAUAGAGCAUAUUCUGCAUUGACUAAGGUUGAGUGUUUACUCUUAAUGAAUGCCACAUUCCUUAUGAAUGGUAUGUUUAAAUGCAUAAUAUACUUGAUGGAUUCAACUAUAUGAGAGUAGAGAUGAGACCACUUCCUAUAAAAACUUAAGCAGGUUCUCUAGAGCUCUCAUAAAUAUCCAGGCAGAGUACAUGGCCUAUUUGUGUCAACCCGUUAUGUACAACUCAUAAUGUAAUUAAGAAAACCAAUGUGGAUAAAGGUCUCUUAAGUUACAUCAAGAAACACUGGUUCAUAGAAAUUCAUUUUUCACCGUAUUUUGUGAUUCAAUACUUAUUUGUCCUAAGAUUGGUUCAUAGCCUUUGGGUACCAAUACUGAUGCAUUUGAUUUUUUUUUCUCCAUUUUUUCCUUCCUUCACAUCUACUCUCUAUGAGGGAUUGCAGAAAGAGUGUAAAUGUGAAGUUGUGUUUGACUUAGUCUUUUAUUUUUUAAUGACUCUUUGGGAAGAUUCCCAUUAGGAGUGUGCUAGUAGAGUCUCGUUCCGCUUACAUGUAGAGUCUUGUUCUGUUUAAACUAGAGUCAUGUUCUAAUUACAAGUAGAGUCAUAUUUUUAUUACAAGUAGAGUCCUGUUGGGACUGUGUUAGUGGCCUAUAAAAGCAGGUCACUCCUCACUCUCAAAUAUAUUUUUUUUUUCAGAGAGUUCUUCUAAAUCUUCCAACAUUUGGCUUUCCUCUCCACUCUUUCAUACAUCUAUCUGGAGGAAUUUUUUAGAACACGAAUUGUACACAUCUCGCCUGUAGAGUGCACCCAAGGUGAGAUUCACUGGUUGAUGAAUCCUAGAGGUAGAUCACUGGUACCCUAGUGCACCAAGUUUAUCUUCAAGGAAGGUGAAUCGAUUUCAAGAACACUGUUUGUCACACCUCAACCGAUCAUCGAUAAGUUUCGUGUUAUUCAUUCUAUUCUUUGUUUGUGUGUUUUGGGCUAUUCAUUUGUUUUCAUACCCUUAAAACAAUAGUUACUUCAUGGGAAAGAGAACAUUGGAAGAUAAGAAGAUUUUUGGAGGAAUAUGACAAUUGUAUUCUCUAGGGAGCCACAACAUCAAUAUGAGAAGAGUAAGUCUUCAUUGAAAAAAAAAAAAAGACAAAUUUAAGGAAAAUGAUCAACAGGGACUGCAAAUUUGAUUUUGAGGGUCUCCUUACAAUAGACCGAACCAUCUAACAACCCUUUUCUUCAUAAGAGGACAUCACUUUAUGACCAUACUAAAUCCAACAUUGCCAUUUGGACCGUAAGGAUGCUUGCUUGCUAUUUGCACCAGAGAAGGAUGAAUGAAGUUGUAUCGUGCACCAUUUUGUGAGUUGCAAACCACAUUCUGGUAAGUUAAGAGGAAAUAAUCCACAUCAAAUUUUGGAAGCCAUGACAUCUGGGAGGUUAUUGAUACUUGAGAGGAAAAUUUUCAACUUUUUGACUUCUUUGAUCAUUUAAUCCAACUGAAAGUAAAAAAAAUCAAGGAUCAUUGACGAAUGAGGUUGUGAUAUGGUGCCUAAUUUCUAGUACAAUAGCCUUAAUUUUGAGUUAUAUAUCAUAUUCGAUCAUCAAAGGCAGGAGUAAUAGAUGACGGGGGUUCAGAUUCUUCCAUCCAUAUACCAAUGAUGGCGUUGAUGGUGAGAGGGUCUUGUGGCACACCGUCAAAGCCAUCCAAAAAGAUUGCCUCAUCUACACCGAUGACCAUGAUGCUUCUUCUAAUAGCUUGAUGGCUCGUGUCGUUCGACAUUUUGGUGGAGUUUUCAAGGUGAGGGUUGAGAAGCAGGUUUGAGCGUGUUGAGAAAGAGAUUCAAAGCCUUGGGAGGAUUUUUUAGAAAAGAGAUCGCACACAAAGGGUUGUCCACUUUCCAUUUGAGAGAACGAUAAUCAGAAUUUUUAAGGAACAACAAUCAGAAUUUCUAGAGUGGUGGAUGUUAAGAAUUUUUUUUUUUUUUUUUUAUGGGAUAACGAUCAGAAUUUUUCCGAGAACAACAAUCAGAAUUUUUGGAGAGGAAGAUGCAACAAAGAAACCAUCAUCUUAAUGCGCACCACCAGAAUUGUAGAACCAACUCACCAUCGAUAACUGUUCUCCAUCUUCAUGCACAGGUUGAUCAUUCGACCAAUGGGACGCACUCUCUACGGGGAAAACCAAUAGAACCAGACAUCAUCUUCACAUGAAAGAAGGUUUCCACAUUGAGGGGCUGCCACUUUGAAACCAUUGUCGGCAUCUCUCCAUCACAAAGGAGCUUCGGCAUGCAUCGCUUCACAGGAACACCCAUAGGUGAGUUUUUUUUAUUUUUUUUGGGAAACUUUGGUAUUUGAAUCCAUGAGUGCUAUACAUGUAGUGGAAGAUUGAGGAUUUUUUUUUUUUUUUAAAUAUAAUAUAGAGUCAUGAGUGUUUGAACGCUAGUGGCUUGGCUUUUUUUAGGGAAAAAAAAUUGAUGUAUAUACACGUGGUCCGCCAUGUGAUGUUUCAAGUAUGUUAAUAGUUUGUUUCAUUGAAUUAAAAAUUAAAGUGAAUGUGGUGGGUCAUGUUGUUAUUGGUUUACAUUGUUAUAAAUUUACAAUGAAACAAAUGAAAACUAAUAUCCAUAAAAAUUCAUUCAUUUAUUUAUUUAUUUAUUCAUUUUCAUAAAGUUAUUUGUUGCAAAUUUUGAAUAUCCAUGUUAGUUUAUACUUUUCAUAAAACCAUUUGUUGUUAAUUUUAAAUAUAUAUAUUAAUUUAUAUUGCUCCUUGAACUUUUAGUUUGUAGUUUUGGUUGAUCCAUGUUAAUUUUUGUUAUCCUUAAAAUUAUCAAUUGUUAUUUUGGUUGAUCCAUGUUAAUUUUUUGUGGUCCUUUGAAUUUUUAGUUUUUAAUUUGAUGGUCUGUGUUAAUUUUUAUAUACCUUUGAGCUUUUAAUUGUUGAUUUUAAUAAACUAUGUUAGUAUAUAUUCCUUCUUGAAUUUUUAGUUUUUGGUUUUGGUUGAUCCAUGUUGAUUUAUAUUGCUCUUUGAAUUAUUAAUUAAUAUUUUGGUUGAUCCAUGUUGUUUAAUAGUUUUCUUUAAAUAUGAGGGUUUUAGUUUUUAUUUACCUCUUAUUAGUUUGUGAUUUAAAUAUCCUUAGAUGUUAGUUUUUAUUAUUUUCCAAUUAUUCAUUCUUAUUGAACCUAAAUUAGUUCAUGUUUUUAUUAUCUCUAGCAUUAGUUUGGUUGUUCCUCAUUAAUUUAGGUUUUUAAUAUCCCUAGUUGUUGACUUUUGUUAAUAUUUCAUGUUAGUAUAUGUUCUUAAUAAUUUUAGGCUUAGUUUCCUUGACCCUUGAUGAUAUUAAUUCAUGCUAGUUUAAAAUUGUUAUUAUCAUUGUUAUUAUUAUUAUUAUUUGUUAACCCAUAUAGAUUUUUUUGUUGUCCUUUGACCUUUUAAUCUUAGGUAUUGAUUAUCCAUGUCAUUUGAGUAUUAUUAGAUCAUUUUCAUGCUAUGAGAGUUCUCAUCUUUAAAAUUUUGGUAAUUCUAAGGUGUUAAAUCUUCUUAGUAUUAUUCAUGAUAAUUUUAUGUUAAAUAAUUUUUCUUGAAUGACAGUAAAUUAGUUUCAGAUUUUUCAUUAUUUGUUUAAUAUUAGUUAGUUUCAUGUUAUUUAGAUUAUUUUCAUGCCAUUAAAAGUAUUAUCCCUUAUAGUUUAUUAAUUCUUAGGUUUUAAUCUUCUUGUUUUAGCUUCAUAUCAUUAUAUUAUUUCCCAUGCUAUUAAAAGUUUUGUAAUGCAAGUUCGAUAAUUUUAAUAUUUGAUCUUCAUGUUUUUAGUUUCAUGUCAUUCAAUAAUUUUUCAUGAUAUUGAAAGUUCUUCUUUGGAAAUUUAGUAGUUCUUAAGUUUUAGAUCUUCUUGUUAUUAUUCAUGUAUUUUGAUCCUGUUAUCAUAUUAAAAGUUGUCUUUUUUGGAAACUCGGUAGUCUUAGGAUUUAGAUCCUAAAUCCUCCAAUUAUUAUUCAUGCAAUUUGUUUGUGUUAUGAACUAAAAAAUUUAUCUUGAAAGGUUUAGAAGUUCUUAGGACUUAGCCUCAUUCUUAUUUUAGAUUCAUGUUAUUUUUUUAUAUUCAUGCUAUUUAGAAAUAUGGUUGCUCAUCUUUUAAAGCUCGUUUUUCUUCUAAGACGUAGUUUCUUGUUACCACUCAUGGGGUUUAAUUAUUUAUUUAUUUUGAAAGCAUAUUGGCUAGUUUGGGAUUCAGAUCUCCUUAUUAAAAUUCAUGUUUGAUCUUUUAUAUUUGAAAGCAUGUUAUUUGUUUGCAAUUCAGCUAAAAUUCAUGAUAUUAGUUGUUUAUUUUUCAAAGAUUGAUUUUUAGAAAGAGAUUUUUAGAAAUUGACAUUUUGAAUUAAGUCAAAAUCUCUUCUUUUCUUUCAAAAAAUGAAUUUUUCUCCAUAAAUGAUGUGGCUCCUUGAUCCCAAAUGAAAGGUAGCCAAUAAGGCGAUCCAUGUUGAUAAUUCUUUUGUUUUCAAAUCCCUUUUAAAUUAGAAAUAAAAUAAAAUAAAAUAAAAUAAAAUAACUCCAUUUUGUGUCCAAUGUUUUGGAUUUAUCAAAUCACAUGGUUUGAUCUUUUGCUUUCCUAAAAUCAUUCUCAAAGGAAUUUAAAUAUUAAAAAAAAAAAUCCAUUCCCGGUUUUUAAGGCCAAUAUCUCACUUUGUUUUAAAGAAAAAAAAAUAUAUAUGUAACUUAGUUUUAUCCAAAUUGCAUUCCUUUUUCUUAGUUUUCUAAAACUUUAUUUUCUUAACAUAGAUUUGAACUUGUGUUCCCAAGCUAAUAGGAAUACACAGGUGAAUCUUAUGAAUAUUAAUUGGGGAUUUGAUGGGACCCCAACAUAAAAGAAUCUUUUCAAAACUUAUUUUUGUUGCCACUUUUGCUACUUGUUAUAAUCAUAACCAUCAAUUUUUUAGGAAAAUUAUGCAAGAUGUAUGUGAUAAUUGAUGACUUUGAAUACUCUGAUAAUUUUUGCUACGCUAUUUAGAUACCAAGCAUGCUAGGAUUUCUUUUUUUUAUUAUUUAUUACUAUAAUUUUGAUCUAACCUUCCAUGUCUUGUGAAAACACACUAUAAGUUAUCUAUGUUAUUUAGGUACUCAUCUUACCUUCACAUUUUAAUUUCAUAAAUUGUGUAUUACUUUAUAUAUGAUCAUUACCUAUUGCUUCGUAUGUGAUUGUCAUGUUUAGCAUAUCUUUUUUUAUUGUUUGUUUGACUUGUCAUGUUUGAUUAAGAGACUAAGGUAAAACGCAUGAUAUGUGUUUUAUUUUCUAAACCGACCAUUGAUGUCAUGUGAUAGUGCUUAAGUUGCAGUUCAGGUAUGCAAUACAAUCAUUUCUUUAUGAUUGUGUUUUGAAUUCUUGUUUGGCUUGCUAGUGUUGAAAGAUUUUAAAAAUCACCUUAGUCCGUCUAAGUAUCCAUAAUCAACUAACUAAUUGUCAUAUUUCCAUCAACUUAGCUAGUAGAGAGACCUCUCUAUGGAUUAGAAGGGUGCUACCUCUUUGGAGGUAUUUUCUUGAUAGGUAACUUGAUCCCCGGAUCCAAACUCGAGUUUUUCGUAGACAGCUUUUCCAAAAGCUAGGAAUCAUUUUUAAGGGUUUUGUUCUUACUUGAUUUCCCCUUUUUAAAAUAAAUAAAUAAAAGUAAGUGGUAACUCCAGUUUUUUUUUUCUCUCGUAAAAUACAAUUUUUCCUUAAACAAAAGUGAGUCUUAUCAAUUGAGUGGGGAUGUAUUGUGAAAAAUGUGGGUCCACAACAACCCUUCAAAUGAUGUGUCUAGUAUUUUAAAGACAUCUCUUCUAAAGGUCACCUUCAAAUCUAUAAACAAACAUCUCUUCUGAAUUAAUAUUCAUCCAUUCUCUCCAUUCUUUCUCCUUUAUUGUCAUUCAAGUCUCCUUAGCUUCAAGUCUAGUCAUUUCUCUUCUUUUUUUUACCAAAUAUUUGGUGUACAAGUGAGUACAAAUCACCAAGUGAUUCACCAUUUUUUUUAGUGAUUUGAAGUGUUACUAUCACAAAAAAGUGAUCAUUGUAACCUAGGAGACAAUUGUCAAUAAACCAUAAGCACCUGAAUGGGGCAAAUUCAUCUUAAGGACAUAAAGUCAACUUUAGCCUUGAUCAACCUUAUUUGUGACUUUCAGUUUUCUACAUAUUUUAUUUUAUUUGUAUAUUUACUAUACACACUUAUUAUCCCUAUAUUUUCAGUGAUCUGGACUACAACUUUUAGUAGUAAAUCGAGAUUUCUUCUCCAAACAGGAUUUUAGGAGAAGAAAUUAUGUUUAUGGAAAAGUUUUUACUAUAGAAAAUUAAAUUUAAUGUAGUAGAUCUUGACUUAUCGUGUUUGAAAGCUAUGAUUAUUGAUUAAAAAAAAUUAAUGUUAUUUUUCUUUUAAUUACAAGUAUUUUUUAUAUAUAAAGUUAAUAUUUAAGUAUAAAACCUUUUAGAAAUGUCAACUCAACUCUAUUUAUGGAAUAAUUUUAAAUUUUCCUUUUAGCAAAAGUUGAAAUAAACGUAAAAUAACUACUUUUAUUAUAAGUUGAUUUUAUGUUUGGAAUAGAAUGCUUUUAUUCAAAAUAAAGAAUAAUUAAGAUAUUUUUAAAUUUUAGUUAAAUAAAACUUGUUGAAUACACCAAUAUUUUCUCUCGUUACACCCAUCUUAUUUUUAAUUUUUUUUUUAGUAAAAAUGUGAAUGUCUUUUUCUUCAUCAUCCUUUUGACACUCAUGUCUCAAAUCUUAAUUAGCUUUCUUAUUCACUUUUCUUCCCCUUUCCUUUAUUUUAUUUCAAUUUUCCUUUAACUAAAAUAGAAAAACAACUAGAAAAAUAAUAGUUGGUGUGCAACCAUGACUAUUGUCGGUAUAGAUAGAAAAGAAUUGGUGGAUUAAAUAACCACUAAAUUAAUCAUCAAAACUUUAACUUUAACUUUUUAACUCAAUAAAAUUUAGACUUGACAAACAAUGAGUCAUACACAUUGAACGAAUGUUAUGCAAUUCACAAAGCGAUAUAUGACCAAAUUUGAAAGGCUACAAAAUCAAAUCUUGUAAAAUAAAAAUAAAAUAAAAUUUUUAAAGUAAAAAAGAGAAUUAGAAAAAUAUAUUCUCUUGCUAGUAAAUUUCUGAAAUGAAAGAAACAAAUUGCUUAAUUAAAUCAAAAGCGAAUUGUAAAGAAAUAUUCUCUUGUUGAUAAAUUUUUUAAAUGAGGGUACACAAAUUGCUAAAUCAAUCAAUCAAUCAAUCAAAUUCCUUAAAUUGAGUAACCAACUACUGGGGAUUCCAAAUUUAAUUUCUUAACUUCACCUAUAAAUAAAAAUCACCUUCUUCAAUAUAGGAGAUUAAAAAAAUAAAUAAAUAAAUAAAUUUCAGAAGAAGCCAGAGAAAAAAGGAUUCUCAAGGAGAAAAAUGUUUCACAAUAUACCCCCUACAAGUCCAAGAAAAGCACAUGAAAAACUAUGUACAUACUUUUCACCAUUCUCAAAGUUCAAUAGUCAUUUAGAAAACAAGAUAUGCAAGACUCUCAAUUGAACUUUAAUUUCAAAGAAAUACUUACAUCGUCAUUCAUUAGAUUGUGAUUAAAACAAUCAAAUCAGAGGAAAAUUUUCUUUACAAAGAAUAUUAUAAUAGAAAAUUGUACCUCAUAAAUUUUUCUAAUUAGGAAAAUUUAGGUAGGUGUAUUUAACAACUCUUUAAAAAAAUAAAUUUUAUCCCUAAAAAAUUAAUAUACAUUUAUAGGAGCACUAAGUGACAAAAUUCGAAACUAAUGGAGAUUUAAUGCAAUGUUAUGAAGAUUAGACCGAACGAGGACCGGAUUGGUCUGGUUCACCACAUCAAGCCACAAAUGAGUUGAAUCGGCAUUAAAUCGGUCCAACCACUAGGUGAGUUAGCUCAACCAAUUCAAGAGCUACACUUUAUUCCCUUUUUUUCUUUUCCAAAACUCACCUAACCGUCCAACACAUAUAAGUCCAUAGUCAAUUUGCAUGAAUGACAAGUUUAUAUAGCCUACUUUUGCUUCAUGCUUUUUCGAUGUAGAAUCAAGUGAAUUUUUGUUUUUGGAGACUAAAUGUCAUGACCAUGGGAUUUGAACAAAACAUGGAACACCCAAGUUAUCCUUACAUGUUUGCAAAGAAAAACAUUCGAAAGCUAUAUAUACAUUAUUGAAAAUUUUAAAAUGAAUAUAAAUAUUUAUGAUUUAUCUAUAAUAAAUAUGGGAAUAAUAUAAAUAAAAAACUAAUAAUUUGAAGAUAAUAAAAUGUAUAGCUAUUGAAAUCCAAACAAAUUAAAAUAAUAAAAUCCUUUUAUCUUAAUAAAUUAAAGUUACUUAUUUAAUAAAAAAAAAACUAAUAAUUUAAUAAAUCAUUAAGUUAUCGUUAUCAUAUUUUGAGCUAUCAAUAUUAUCAAUAAUAAAAUGAUGAAAUGUGUUUAAAAUUUAAUUACUUAUACAUUUUCUUAUUUCAUAUAAUUGUUUUUAAUUUUAUUAAUAAUGCAAUUUAUAUAUUUAUGACAUCAUUGGUUUAAUAAUUUCAACCAUCGAUCUAAUCGAUGAAUUAUGAAUUCGAUAACUUUUAUAAUUUAAUGAUCAAUCCAAUUUUGAAAACAUUAUUUUAAUGUAUGUACACUAAACCUUAGGGAAUUUGAUUGAAAUUAACUCAUACAAACAAUUUUGUUUGUAUAUAUUUCUAGUUCUUUUACUUAUUUUUAUGGGAGAAUUAUCUUUUGGGGGUAGAUGGGCCCCCAAAUUAACAAAAGGUCCAUGUAACUCUUCAAAUUGAGUUGAAGGAUAUGAAAUAGUAACGGACAAAUAUACCCUUUAAGAACACAUAUAAAAUAUUUUAUAAAAUUAAGUUAAAUAAUUCUUUUUCAAUAAUUUUUUUUUUCAAAAAUACUAAAUUAAAUAAAAGUAGUUUUCAAAAAUAUUAAAUUAAUUUUUUUUUUCAAAAAUAUUAAAUAAAAUAAAUUUAUUUUUAAAAAAUAUUAAAUAAAAUAAAUUUAUUUUUAAAAAAUAUUAAAUUAAAUAAAAGUAUUUUAAAAAAUAUUAAAUUAAAUAAAAGUAUUUUAAAAAAUAUUAAAUUACAUAAAAGUAUUUUUUAAAAAUAUUAAAUUAAAUAAAAAAUAUUAAAUUAAAUAAAAGUAUUUUUCAAAAAUAUUAAUUUUUUUUCUCAAAAUCAACAAAUGAUAUUUUUUGAAAUACUGAAGGAUGAUAUCCUUCAACUCAAUUUCCAUACUUUCAUUGGGUCUUGGGCUCAAUUUAAAGAGUUAUAUGGACCUUUUGUUAAUUUAGGGGCCCAUCUACCCCCAAAACAUAAUUCUCCCAAUUUUUAUAGGACUUUCGAAAUUUGCACAUGUAAUUGCCAUUGAUAGCAUUUGGAUAUGCAUUCUAAUCUAUUGUUCAUGCAUGACUAAGCAAAUAACCUUCGCCACUGUAAACAACCAUGAUGUGAGUACCAACAAAGCCAAGUCACUCACCCUCUUCAUAUGGUUUUUAUUUUUUAUUUUAUUUUUUGUUAAUGUUUGGAUAUGGGAAUAAAGAAAAAAAGACAAGGCAUGCAAGCAAGGGAAAGGAAAAGUAAUGGGAGGGAUAUAAGAUUCAUAAUAAUGAUAAGGGCUUAGGUAUGGUACAAAUAACACCUUUUUAGUACCAAUUAGUGGGUGUCACAUGUGCACUGGUUCAUUGCUUUGUUCUUAGCAUCUCAUUAUUUUGUUUUGUAUCCUCCCAAGUUGGAUCAAACUAUGCAUCACUUUCCUCCUCAAGAUAAAAAAACCAAAAGAUAAAAAAGAAUAGGCCGGUUAGGUAAACCUUUCUUCAACAAUCAAGUUAUCCAUGAGGUUAAGUGAAAAAGACAUAAAAGAUGAAAUUGUUUUUGUUCCUUAUUUUGGAAGUGAGAAUUCCUUUUAUAGAUUUAUUUUGGUGUAUUAAUCAUGAAAAGUUAAUAAAUGGAAACAUCAAUUCUAUAUUGUUCCUUAAAUGAUUUCCAUUACGAGUAUCAUAAAGGCUCUAAUCAUUAUGCAAUAAUUAUGGAAUGACAUUUAAGGUUUUGGCCAUUAUGUGAUUAAUCUGUGAAUUGUUGUCAUUACAUAAUUAAUGUAUAGGUUAUCCUUUACACAAGGUCAUAAUUUGCAAUAGUGAUCAUAUUUUAUGAGUGGUAGUCAUUCCUGAAUGUGAUCAAUGCUUUUUGUGACGUGAUGAUGAUAAUGAUCUAUUUUUACGGUGAGGUGGGUCUCAUGGGGACUCUUGACAAGCAUUAUAUGGAGGUAGCACAUUGCUUUUUUGACUUUGCUACAUGACGAAGGAUUUUCAUAUCCCUACACUUCCUAUUUUACAUGUGAACUAAUUAUUUUAUAUUUUAGUUCCAUUAUUUUGUAGUUUAGUCUUAUUACAGGCAUUACAUUUUAAUCUCAUUGAUCUAUAUAAUGGUUCCAUGUGUUUAUAACAUGGGUCUUUAUACUUUCAUUUAGUGACUCAGAUUUUAUUAUAUACUUAAAUGAUUAGGAUUAAAAUUUCAAUAUCAUAUCAAAUAUAAACCCAAUAUAUUUCUUUUUUUAUAAUAAUAAAUUUAUUGAAGAAAGGUAUGAUUGAAUAUUAGAGAUUGUGGCUUUCAAGUUAACACUAAAAAAACUACGCACAUAGAUGAUUUUAGUGUUAAAAAACUUGAGGAGAAUUAUUUCCAAUUGGUGACAUGUGUUAGGUAUAAAGUUGCCUUUAAUAAGAUUGAUAACUACAUUACUAAAAUAUAAAACCUUAUUGGUAAUAAUAGUAAAGGAUUGAUUAUGACACUAACUACUACUUUUUUGGUAUCAUAUCAAAAAGUUAUCAUCAACUAAGGGUAUCAAAUGUAUGCAUGUUGAUCCUAUUACUUUGUACUUGAUAUCUAAUUAGUUAUACUUUAUAUACAUAAUGAUCGUAUUGGUUUGUAUCUUGGUUCAUUACUUUUCAACAUAUGAUACCUAGAUUUCAUUAUUUUAUACUAAACAUUUCAUUGUAUUAUACCAUAUAUGUGAUCUCAUUGAUCCAUACCUUUAUUCCAUUAUUUUGUACCAUGUGAUAGCUCGGAUCCUUGCUUUUGCUAUAUAUUACAUGUGACUUUGGUUCCAUUAUUUUGUAUUCGAGUGUUUUAUUAUUUUAUAAUUUAUAUAUAAUUUUAUUGUUUUCUACCUUAAUUUCACUAUUAUUAACCAUAAAUAACAAUUUCAAUAAAAAAAAGUUUUCUAUGAUAUGGGAUGUAUAUUAUAUAUUAAAUUUAUCAUUUAUGGGAGAUAAUUGCCCCCCAUCUAACGCUCAAAAAAUUAUGCAUAUGAAAGAUUUUAGUGUCGGAAAAGUAGAGAUUUUUUUCUAGAAUUGGGUCAAAAAGGUAUAUGUGUGACAUUUAAAUUUGUCUGCUUAUAUGAUUGAGAUAAGAACAUUUGGAAUUAGAGAAUUAGUCGAUGUUCAAUUAAUAAUGCAGCAGUGAUGAAAUUCAGUGGAAUUAAUUUAGAUACUAUUGAAUGGACGUCUCACAAAGUGGACUAAAUUUUAUCAAUUUGAUUGAUUUGAAAAAUUCAUAUGUUUAAAAUCAUUCAACAUUCUGAGAAUAAUUCCUUUUUCAAUUAAAAAUUGUCUGCUCCACACGAAAAGACAAACUUGGUUUUGGUCUCUUUCCAAAGUAGAAAUAAUUCCAUAAAUAUUGAAUUAUAUUGUUUACUAAAGAGAAUUGAAGAGAUCAAAGAAUGCCAACCAAAAACAAAAAAACAAAAAAAGACAAAUAUUUGCACGGAAAAGUCCAUGCAAUAGUACUCACGCCCACAGCCUAAGACUUCAACAUCAGAGAUAUGAAUAUUCUAUAUUCUAUGUCGGCCAUGACAUCACCUCCAUUCUUCUUCUCCAAGCUAAAACCACAUAGUGAAGAUCUAUAUAUAUAUCUGAAUCAUCCGGUGUUUAAUUCCACUGAAAAUAAGAAAAUUUCUUAGAAUUUUCUCUGUGAGCCGUAGUAUUAGCUAGUGAUGGUGAAGAAAAUAGAGCUUAUUUUUGUCUCUGUCUCAGCUAUAGGACAUCUUGUAUCAGCUGUGGAGUUUGCUAAGCUUCUUGUUGGUAGAGAUGACCGCUUCUCAGUCACUCUACUCAUCAUGAAGCUACCUCUUGAGGACUCUGCGGUAACCAACUAUAUCCAUUCAGUUUCUGCUUCCGUUUCCGGGUCCAUUCGAUUUGUCCACCUUCCUGAACUCGACUCAGAUUCAUCCAAUUCCCACCCAUCAUCGUCAUCCCCUAAUAUCUUCUAUAAUAUCAUUGCAAGGCAGAAGCCUCUAGUGAGGGAUGCAGUCCACCAGCUCACUCGGUUUGAGUCGGGUCGACUCGUUGGGAUUGUGGUCGAUAUGCUUUGUACUGUUAGAUUAAUUUUUGUAAUUAAUCUAUAAUUUGGGCCACACAUGUAAAUAAUUAAAAUGUGUGUGCUAUCAUUUAAUUAAUUAAGCCUAAAUAUAGUGAUCUAAUUAAUAAUUGAUUAAUUGGCUUAAGGGUAUAAUUGUCAUGAGAUUAUUGUGUAGAUACCAUUAGAUAAUUAUUAUUUCUAUGAGGGGCAGAAAUAUAAUUGUGAUAAAAUUAAAACUGCCCUAGCGGUUUAUAAAUAGGGUUAUGGUCCCCAUUCUACGACUACGCAUUCCAAUUUCUGAAAAUCCUCUCAGUGAGAAAUUGACACAAAAUCUAGUGGCUAGAAUUGGAAGACCAUCUCAAAGGGUUUUCUUCCUAUAAGGUUUCUCCUUCAAUGGAUUCAGGUAUGCUUCCGCUAUUAUUUUUUCUACUCAUUGUUUUUAAUCAGGAGAUUCCAGUAUAUAUGAAAUUAGGGUAUUCACCUUGUUAAAUAUUCCAGUAUAUAUGAAAUUAGGGUAUUCAUCUUGAUUCAUUUUAACAUGUACUUCCAUGAUAGAUGUAGCUAAUAAAUUGGGUGUUCCUUCCUAUGUGUACUUCGCCUCCAGUGCGGCCUGCCUUGCUCUCAUGUUUCAUCUUCAAACCCUCAAGGACCGCCAGGGCGUGGAUGUUACUGAGUUUGCUAACUCGGAUGCUAAGUUGGUGGUCCCGGGUUUUGUCAACUCGGUUCCUGCUCGAGUCUUGCCUGCUACGGCGGUGGACAAGGAGGGUGGCGGAUCCAUGGAUUUCCUCGAUCGGGUAAGGAGCUUUAGAGAUGCCAAGGGUAUUUUGGUAAAUACAUUUAUGGAGCUAGAAUCUCAUGUGAUUAACUCCUUUGUCGAUGGUACAACUCCUCCCAUUUACACAGUAGGGCCAUUAUUGAACUUACAACAUGCCAACAAACAAAAACAAGAUAGUGACUUGGAUGUCAUCCAAUGGCUUGAUGAUCAACCCACAUCAUCUGUGGUGUUUUUAUGUUUUGGCAGCGCUGGAGCAUUCCACAUGGAUCAAAUCAAGGAGAUUGCAAUUGGGCUUCAGAAUAG